GGCUUGUUUUCAGUUGCCUGCG
This 22-nucleotide microRNA is filed under the name Chrysemys picta bellii (western painted turtle). Its description in RNAcentral is "Cpi-Mir-1788_5p (mature (co-guide))". The record is from RNAcentral. RNAcentral also lists the same sequence under 6 other names. Lineage: Eukaryota; Metazoa; Chordata; Testudines; Emydidae.